RNAcentral lists this ribosomal RNA (439 nucleotides) under uncultured bacterium. RNAcentral's name for it is "partial 16S ribosomal RNA". It matches the Rfam family "Bacterial small subunit ribosomal RNA", at positions 338 to 795 of the family's 1533-position model. The record is from RNAcentral.
CCUACGGGUGGCAGCAGUGGGGAAUAUUGCGCAAUGGGGAAACCCUUAUCCAGCGACGCCGCGUGAGGGAAGGAGGUUUUCGGGUUGUAAACCUCUGUCAGUGGGGACGAUAAUGACGGUACCCACGGAGGAAGCCACGGCUAACGAAGUGCAAGCAGCCGCGGUAAUCCGUAGGUGGCAAGCGUUGACCGGAAUUACUGGGUGUAAAGGGAGCGUUGGCGGGGUGUCAAGUCAGAAGUGAAAAUGAUGGGCUCAACACAUAACCUGCUUUUGAAACUGUUAUUCUUGAGUGAAGUAGAGGCAAGCGGAAUUCCUAGUGUAGCGGUGAAAUGCAUAGAUAUUAGGAGGAACACCAGUUGCGAAGGCGGCUUGCUGGGCUUUUACUGACGCUGAGGCUCGAAAGCGUGGGGAGCAAACAGGAUUAGAUACCCUUGUAGUC